CUGACAGCACUGAAACCUUCCACUAACCCAUAGAAAAGGGAGAGCUGUGAAAGCGUCCCCCCACUGCUACACCAGUGUGCCUAAUCCCUGGCCUGGAGGGACCCCCUCUGUGGGUCAGAGGGGGGUUCAGUCUCUAUUGCCCAUUCAGCCCUUGGCACUG
Molecule: small RNA, 160 nt
Filed under: Chrysemys picta bellii (western painted turtle)
Lineage: Eukaryota; Metazoa; Chordata; Testudines; Emydidae
Description: TUC338 (ENSCPBG00000017504.1)
Source: RNAcentral